UACGUAGGUGGCAAGCGUUAUCCGGAUUUACUGGGUGUAAAGGGCGUGUAGGCGGGAGAGCAAGUCGGACGUGAAAUUCCAGGGCUCAACCCUGGAACUGCGUUUGAAACUGUUCUUCUUGAGUGAUGGAGAGGCAGGCGGAAUUCCGUGUGUAGCGGUGAAAUGCGUAGAUAUACGGAGGAACACCAGUGGCGAAGGCGGCCUGCUGGACAUUAACUGACGCUGAGGCGCGAAAGCGUGGGGAGCAAACAGG
Molecule: ribosomal RNA, 253 nt
Filed under: uncultured bacterium
Lineage: Bacteria
Description: partial 16S ribosomal RNA
Rfam family: Bacterial small subunit ribosomal RNA
Source: RNAcentral